UUUUUUAACAUAGGAUCUCAUAUAGUCCAGGUUGCCCUCAAACCUGUUGUAUGGCCAAGGCUAGCACUGAAUUCCUGCUACACUCUACUCUCUUUCUCUAAGCUCAGACUACCGUACGUACUGCUCUUCCACUCUCUAAACGCCAAGGGCAUUGCCAAGGCCAGCAGUCUCGGGGCCAUGGGCAACUACUAUAACCUGAUCAACAUCUCAGGCUGUAAUCAUCUCCAGUUCAUGGCUGAGGGGGGAGAGCGGGAGCUUUUUCGGGGGACAUUGUAUAAAUCUUUUUUGUGUAAAGAACUAAUAUAAAAUUUAGUUCUUUGAUUUUUAAACAUGUUUUUAAGAUUUUUUUAAUGCUCAUGUAUGAACUACAUGCAUGAACUCUGCACAUUCCUCAUGCUGCUGCUGCUGCCAGAGACCAGAAAGUGG
Molecule: long non-coding RNA, 426 nt
Filed under: Rattus norvegicus (Norway rat)
Lineage: Eukaryota; Metazoa; Chordata; Mammalia; Rodentia; Muridae
Description: long non-coding RNA NONRATT012470
Source: RNAcentral